RNAcentral lists this ribosomal RNA (399 nucleotides) under Triticum aestivum (bread wheat). Its description in RNAcentral is "partial small subunit ribosomal RNA". The record is from RNAcentral. Lineage: Eukaryota; Viridiplantae; Streptophyta; Magnoliopsida; Poales; Poaceae.
ACCAUUCAGAAUAAAUACCCUCUUCCUCGGAUCAAUGAUCUGUAUGAUCAACUGGCGGGUUCGUCAGUGUUCUCUAAGCUCGACUUGAGGUUGGGCUACCACCAGAUCCGUGUUCGCGAAGAGGAUAUCCCAAAGACCGCCUUCGUGACUCGCUAUGGUUCAUACGAGUACACCGUCAUGUCUUUCGGUUUAACCAAUGCUCCAGCCACCUUCUCUCGUAUGAUGAACUACAUAUUCAUGGAUUACCUCGACAAGUUCGUCGUGGUUUAUCUGGAUGAUAUCCUGAUAUUUUCCAAGAACGAAGAAGAACAUGCUGAACAUCUUCGUCUUGUGCUGGAAAAGCUACGAGAACAUCAACUAUAUGCCAAGUUCUCUAAAUGUGAAUUUUGGCUACCCGAA